Molecule: ribosomal RNA, 537 nt
Filed under: uncultured fungus
Lineage: Eukaryota; Fungi
Description: eukaryotic LSU rRNA
Rfam family: 5.8S ribosomal RNA (bases 178-330)
Source: RNAcentral
ACCGAGUGAGGGCCCUCUGGGUCCAACCUCCCACCCGUGUUUAUUUUACCUUGUUGCUUCGGCGGGCCCGCCUUAACUGGCCGCCGGGGGGCUCACGCCCCCGGGCCCGCGCCCGCCGAAGACACCCUCGAACUCUGUCUGAAGAUUGAAGUCUGAGUGAAAAUAUAAAUUAUUUAAAACUUUCAACAACGGAUCUCUUGGUUCCGGCAUCUAUGAAGAACGCAGCGAAAUGCGAUACGUAAUGUGAAUUGCAAAUUCAGUGAAUCAUCGAGUCUUUGAACGCACAUUGCGCCCCCUGGUAUUCCGGGGGGCAUGCCUGUCCGAGCGUCAUUGCUGCCCUCAAGCCCGGCUUGUGUGUUGGGCCCCGUCCUCCGAUCUCCGGGGGACGGGCCCGAAAGGCAGCGGCGGCACCGCGUCCGGUCCUCGAGCGUAUGGGGCUUUGUCACCCGCUCUGUAGGCCCGGCCGGCGCUUGCCGAUCAACCCAAAUUUUUAUCCAGGUUGACCUCGGAUCAGGUAGGGAUACCCGCUGAACUUAA